RNAcentral lists this ribosomal RNA (610 nucleotides) under uncultured Actinomycetes bacterium. RNAcentral's name for it is "bacterial SSU rRNA". It matches the Rfam family "Bacterial small subunit ribosomal RNA", at positions 75 to 699 of the family's 1533-position model. The record is from RNAcentral. Lineage: Bacteria; Bacillati; Actinomycetota; Actinomycetes.
UUUCUUCGGAAAUGGAUUAGCGGCGAACGGGUGAGGAACACGUGAAGAAUCUGCCCUCCACUUUGGGAUAACACCGGGAAACCGGUGCUAAUACCGAAUAUUGAAACAUAAGUGGCAUCACUGAGUUUUGAAAGAAUUUCGGUGGAGGAUGACUUCGCGGCCUAUCAGCUAGUUGGUGAGGUAAUGGCUCACCAAGGCAACGACGGGUAGCCGGCCUGAGAGGGCGACCGGCCACACUGGGACUGAGACACGGCCCAGACUCCUACGGGAGGCAGCAGUGGGGAAUAUUGGGCAAUGGAGGAAACUCUGACCCAGCGACGCCGCGUGCGGGAUGAAGGCCUUCGGGUUGUAAACCGCUUUCAGUAGGGAAGAAGCGAAAGUGACGGUACCUACAAAAGAAGCACCGGCUAACUAUGUGCCAGCAGCCGCGGUAAUACAUAGGGUGCAAGCGUUGUCCGGAAUUAUUGGGCGUAAAGAGCUCGUAGGUCGUUUGUUACGUCGGAUGUGAAAUCCUGAGGCUCAACCUCAGGCCUGCAUUCGAUACGGGCAAACUAGAGUUUGGUAGGGGAGACUGGAAUUCCUGGUGUAGCGGUGGAAUGCGCAGAUAUCA